CUCAAUCUGGGAACAGCGCUUGAUACUGUUGGUCUAGAGUUCGGGAGAGGAUGGUGGAAUUCCCAGUGUAGAGGUGAAAUUCGUAGAUAUUGGGAAGAACACCAGUGGCGAAGGCGGCCAUCUGGACCGAUACUGACGCUGAGGCGCGAAAGCGUGGGGAGCAGACAGGAUUAGAUACCCUGGUAGUCCACGCCGUAAACGAUGUGUGCUAGAUGUCGGGCAGCUUGCUGUUCGGUGUCGCAGCUAACGCAUUAAGCACACCGCCUGGGGACUACGACCGCAAGGUUAAAACUCAAAGGAAUUGACGGGGGCCCGCACAAGCGGUGGAGCAUGUGGUUUAAUUCGAUGCAACGCGCAGAACCUUACCAGCCCUUGACAUCCCGGUCGCGGUUUCCAGAGAUGGUUACCUUCAGUCUGCUGGACC
RNAcentral lists this ribosomal RNA (424 nucleotides) under uncultured Alphaproteobacteria bacterium. RNAcentral's name for it is "bacterial SSU rRNA". It matches the Rfam family "Bacterial small subunit ribosomal RNA", at positions 608 to 1029 of the family's 1533-position model. The record is from RNAcentral. Lineage: Bacteria; Pseudomonadati; Pseudomonadota; Alphaproteobacteria.